RNAcentral lists this ribosomal RNA (2772 nucleotides) under Salmonella enterica subsp. enterica serovar Bareilly. Its description in RNAcentral is "bacterial LSU rRNA". It matches the Rfam family "Bacterial large subunit ribosomal RNA". Lineage: Bacteria; Pseudomonadati; Pseudomonadota; Gammaproteobacteria; Enterobacterales; Enterobacteriaceae. The record is from RNAcentral.
AGCGUACACGGUGGAUGCCCUGGCAGUCAGAGGCGAUGAAGGGCGUGCUAAUCUGCGAUAAGCGCCGGUAAGGUGAUAUGAACCGUUAUAACCGGCGAUACCCGAAUGGGGAAACCCAGUGUGAUUCGUCACACUAUCAUUAACUGAAUCCAUAGGUUAAUGAGGCGAACCGGGGGAACUGAAACAUCUAAGUACCCCGAGGAAAAGAAAUCAACCGAGAUUCCCCCAGUAGCGGCGAGCGAACGGGGAGGAGCCCAGAGCCUGAAUCAGCAUGUGUGUUAGUGGAAGCGUCUGGAAAGGCGCGCGAUACAGGGUGACAGCCCCGUACACAAAAGCGCAUGUGCUGUGAGCUCGAUGAGUAGGGCGGGACACGUGGUAUCCUGUCUGAAUAUGGGGGGACCAUCCUCCAAGGCUAAAUACUCCUGACUGACCGAUAGUGAACCAGUACCGUGAGGGAAAGGCGAAAAGAACCCCGGCGAGGGGAGUGAAAAAGAACCUGAAACCGUGUACGUACAAGCAGUGGGAGCACCCUUUGGGUGUGACUGCGUACCUUUUGUAUAAUGGGUCAGCGACUUAUAUUCUGUAGCAAGGUUAACCGUAUAGGGGAGCCGGAGGGAAACCGAGUCUUAACCGGGCGUUAAGUUGCAGGGUAUAGACCCGAAACCCGGUGAUCUAGCCAUGGGCAGGUUGAAGGUUGGGUAACACUAACUGGAGGACCGAACCGACUAAUGUUGAAAAAUUAGCGGAUGACCUGUGGCUGGGGGUGAAAGGCCAAUCAAACCGGGAGAUAGCUGGUUCUCCCCGAAAGCUAUUUAGGUAGCGCCUCGUGAACUCAUCUCCGGGGGUAGAGCACUGUUUCGGCUAGGGGGCCAUCCCGGCUUACCAACCCGAUGCAAACUGCGAAUACCGGAGAAUGUUAUCACGGGAGACACACGGCGGGUGCUAACGUCCGUCGUGAAGAGGGAAACAACCCAGACCGCCAGCUAAGGUCCCAAAGUCAUGGUUAAGUGGGAAACGAUGUGGGAAGGCACAGACAGCCAGGAUGUUGGCUUAGAAGCAGCCAUCAUUUAAAGAAAGCGUAAUAGCUCACUGGUCGAGUCGGCCUGCGCGGAAGAUGUAACGGGGCUAAACCAUGCACCGAAGCUGCGGCAGCGACGUUUAUGCGUUGUUGGGUAGGGGAGCGUUCUGUAAGCCUGCGAAGGUGGCCUGUGAGGGUUGCUGGAGGUAUCAGAAGUGCGAAUGCUGACAUAAGUAACGAUAAAGCGGGUGAAAAGCCCGCUCGCCGGAAGACCAAGGGUUCCUGUCCAACGUUAAUCGGGGCAGGGUGAGUCGACCCCUAAGGCGAGGCCGAAAGGCGUAGUCGAUGGGAAACGGGUUAAUAUUCCCGUACUUGGUGUUACUGCGAAGGGGGGACGGAGAAGGCUAUGUUGGCCGGGCGACGGUUGUCCCGGUUUAAGCGUGUAGGCUGGUUUUCCAGGCAAAUCCGGAAAAUCAAGGCUGAGGCGUGACGACGAGGCACUACGGUGCUGAAGCAACAAAUGCCCUGCUUCCAGGAAAAGCCUCUAAGCAUCAGGUAACAUCAAAUCGUACCCCAAACCGACACAGGUGGUCAGGUAGAGAAUACCAAGGCGCUUGAGAGAACUCGGGUGAAGGAACUAGGCAAAAUGGUGCCGUAACUUCGGGAGAAGGCACGCUGACACGUAGGUGAAGUGAUUUACUCAUGGAGCUGAAGUCAGUCGAAGAUACCAGCUGGCUGCAACUGUUUAUUAAAAACACAGCACUGUGCAAACACGAAAGUGGACGUAUACGGUGUGACGCCUGCCCGGUGCCGGAAGGUUAAUUGAUGGGGUCAGCGCAAGCGAAGCUCCUGAUCGAAGCCCCGGUAAACGGCGGCCGUAACUAUAACGGUCCUAAGGUAGCGAAAUUCCUUGUCGGGUAAGUUCCGACCUGCACGAAUGGCGUAAUGAUGGCCAGGCUGUCUCCACCCGAGACUCAGUGAAAUUGAACUCGCUGUGAAGAUGCAGUGUACCCGCGGCAAGACGGAAAGACCCCGUGAACCUUUACUAUAGCUUGACACUGAACAUUGAGCCUUGAUGUGUAGGAUAGGUGGGAGGCUUUGAAGCGUGGACGCCAGUCUGCGUGGAGCCGACCUUGAAAUACCACCCUUUAAUGUUUGAUGUUCUAACGUGGACCCGUAAUCCGGGUUGCGGACAGUGUCUGGUGGGUAGUUUGACUGGGGCGGUCUCCUCCUAAAGAGUAACGGAGGAGCACGAAGGUUGGCUAAUCCUGGUCGGACAUCAGGAGGUUAGUGCAAUGGCAUAAGCCAGCUUGACUGCGAGCGUGACGGCGCGAGCAGGUGCGAAAGCAGGUCAUAGUGAUCCGGUGGUUCUGAAUGGAAGGGCCAUCGCUCAACGGAUAAAAGGUACUCCGGGGAUAACAGGCUGAUACCGCCCAAGAGUUCAUAUCGACGGCGGUGUUUGGCACCUCGAUGUCGGCUCAUCACAUCCUGGGGCUGAAGUAGGUCCCAAGGGUAUGGCUGUUCGCCAUUUAAAGUGGUACGCGAGCUGGGUUUAGAACGUCGUGAGACAGUUCGGUCCCUAUCUGCCGUGGGCGCUGGAGAACUGAGGGGGGCUGCUCCUAGUACGAGAGGACCGGAGUGGACGCAUCACUGGUGUUCGGGUUGUCAUGCCAAUGGCACUGCCCGGUAGCUAAAUGCGGAAGAGAUAAGUGCUGAAAGCAUCUAAGCACGAAACUUGCCCCGAGAUGAGUUCU